CUAUAAAUACUAAAGAAAAGACAAAAGACUGCAAUGAAGACGUUAAACAUUCCCUCCCCACUAUCAGUGUUUCCCACACAACAGCUGCAGGAGCACUAAAAGGACGGAAUUACCCCUGGACUGUCCCUUGAGGGUAAGUGGGCUGAUUCUGCUCAUUUGGGUUGUCACCUAUGGGCUGCUUCUUCUUCUUGCGAGUGUAAACAUGAAGGAGUGGAGGCUUAUCAACACCGGCGGCCCAAACUUUAACCUUGUCCUCAAGGUUAAAAUUGGGAAACUGCAUGUUCACUUUGGAGAAAUCUUCCCACGUUGCUUCCAACUCUGUUAGCCCCUCCCAUUGAAUUAAAACUUAUUUUUCUGUAGCCCCUCCAUUCUUCUUAUAUCGAACCCCUCGCACUUCUUCUGGGUGGGCCAUCAGCUCUAAGUCUUCGUUGAGCUGAGGAGGCAAAUCCCUUGCUGGAGUUGGAGUUCCCAUGGCAGCCUUGAGCUGUGAUACAUGAAAUGUAGGAUGGAUCUUAGUGGUAGAUGGUAGUUCAAGCUUAUAAGCAACCUUCCUAAUUCUUUCUUGAAUACAAAAGGGCCCGUAAUAACGAGGGGCCAACUUCUCUGAUUUCCUACGAGCCAAACUCUUUUGCCUGUAGGGUCGUAAUUUCAGGUAUACCCAGUCACCAACCUGGUAUUCCAAGUCCCUCCUUUUCCUGUUAGCUUGAAUUUGCAUCCUUUGAUGGGACCUGAUUAGAUUCAUCUUAAGAUCAUCCAGGUUAUUGUCUCUAUCUUCCAGUAGCUGGUCAAGAGCAUCCACUGAGGUUUGUUGUCCCUCGUAUCUGAUCAGGGGUGGGGGGUCUCGCCCAUAUAGGGCCUUGAAAGGAGUAAGACCUGUGGCUGAAUGGUAGGAGCUAUUAUACCAGUAUUCAGCCCAAGACAACCAGUUAGCCCACUGUCUUGGUUUACUUGAGCAAAAACAACGAAGGUAGGUCUCGAGACAGCGAUUUACUACUUCCGACUGCCCAUCCGAUUGGGGAUGAUAAGUCGUGCUGCGUUUCAGAUCUACCCCAUGGAGCUUGAAAAGCUCUCUCCAGAAUUGACUUAAGAAUAUUUUGUCCCUAUCACUGAUAAUGGCUAAAGGCAUCCCGUGCAACUUCACCACCUCGGUCAUGAACUUACUUGCCACAGUAGCUGCUGAAAAUGGGUGUUUUAGUGGUAUGAAAUGGCUGUAUUUGCUAAGGCGGUCUACCACAACCCAUAUCGUAUCCCACCCCUUAGAUUGAGGUAAGCCUUCUACAAAAUCCAUGGUGAUUUCGUCCCAGACCUGGUCAGGUAUUGGAAUUGGCUGAAGUAACCCGGUCGGAGAGGUGGUGAGAGUCUUGUGUUGCUGACAGAUGGUGCACUUUUUGACAAAUUCUGUGAUAGCUUCUCUCAUUCCGAUCCAAUACACUUCUGAUGCUGCCCGUUGGUAGGUUUUCUUGAUUCCCGAGUGACCUCCGAUUGGGGAGUCGUGAAAUAUCGAGAUAAUUUCUGGAAUUAGCGGGGAAGCGGCGGGAAUUACCAGUCAUCCUUUGUACAUCAAGUUCCCAAAGAAAACUGAAAAACCUUUAUGGUUUUGAGGACUAGUUUCCAAGUCCUGUUUCACCUUUUUCACAAAUUCAUCUUGUUCCAAUUCUUUUUUAAGUUUGUCCCAGCUUCCCCAUAGUGUCAUUCUUACUGAAUUGCAUGCAAUGGUAGUGUCCUGCCGUGACAGGGCAUCCGCCACUCGGUUACUGGCUCUGGUGCGGUAUUGUACCUCGAAAUCAAAACCCAUCAACUUAAUUACCCACCGUUGGUAGUCAUUUCCAAUCAUGCGUUGUUCCAGAAUGUAUUUCAGACUUUUCUGGUCCGUUCUGACCACAAACCUUCGUCCCAACAAAUAGGGCCUCCAUUUGAUAACCGCUUUCACAAUCGCCAUGAGUUCUUUUUCGUAGAUGGAUUUCUCUCUUGCCCUAACUCCCAGAGUAAAGCUAUAAUAGGCCACCGGUCGAUUGUUUUGCGAUAACACCGCCCCUAAUCCAAAGUCGGAGGCAUCCGUCUCAACCACAAAGGUUUGCUGGAAAUCGGGCAUAGCUAGGACCGGUAGGAUAGUCAUGGCCUUCUUAAGGUUUUGAAAAGCUUCUUCCGCCUUGUCCCCCCAACCAAACCGAUCCUUCUUAAGCUGCUCUGUCAAGGGAAGGGCAAUUUAGGCGUAAUUCCGGACAAACUACCGGUAAUAACCAGUGAGCCCAAGGAAUCCCCUUAGCUCCUUGAUGUUACGUGGGGUGGGCCAUUCCAACAUUGACCCAAUCUUUUCUCCUUCUACCGAUACCCCCUCACUAGAGAUGACAUGACCUAAAUACGAGAGCCUUGUUUUUCCAAACUCGCAUUUUUUUAAGUUCAAGUACAUCUGAUGUUCUUCCAGUUUUUUGAAAGCUAUUGUUAAGUGUUGUUGGUGGACCUCGUUAUUUGGGCUGUAAACGAGAAUAUCAUCGAAGAAGACAAGAAUGAACUUCCGCAAAUAGGGCCGAAAGAUUUCAUUCAUUAGGGCCUGGAAGGUCGCCGGGGCGUUAGUAAGACCGAAUGGCAUUACUUUAAACUCGUAAUGUCCGUCGUGGGUUCUGAAAGCUGUCUUGUGAACAUCUGUUGCCCGGACACGGAUUUGGUGAUACCCAGAACGUAAGUCCAGCUUGCUGAAAAUUGAAGACCCAUGGAGCUCGUCAAGUAGCUCGUCAAUAACUGGAAUGGGAAACUUGUCGGGAAUGGUGGCUCGGUUUAAGGCCCGAUAAUCCACGCAAAAUCUCCAUGAACCGUCUUUCUUUUUGACUAAGAUGACGGGGCUUGAGUAUGGACUGGUGCUUGGUUGAAUGACCCCGGCUCUUAACAUCUCCUGGAUCAUCUUCUCUAUCUCAUUUUUUUGAAAAUGAGGAUAGCGAUAUGGUCUAACACUGACCGGUAGAGACCCCUCCUUUAACUUGAUCUGAUGUUGGAUGGACCGGACCGGCGGUAGCCCUUUUUGCUCACUGAAUAAAUCUCGGUACCGUUCCAAGACCCCUGCCAAGAAUUUCGGAAUCGGAGGUGAGCUUGUGACCUGCAGUUCGACAUUGCUUAGCUCUACCAAUACACAUGGUUCUUUCCUUCUCAAUUCACGUGCCAUGGCCUUAAGAGAGAUAAGAGACUUCCCGAGAGAACGAUCCCCCUUGAGACAAACCGGAUUUCCAGCCACUUCGAACGCCAUUGACUGUUCUUUCCAAUUUGUUUGGGUGGUUCCCAGCGUUUCCAACCAUUUCAUUCCUAGGAUCACGUCUGAACUUCCCAGCCUAAGAGGAAGGAAUUCCUCCACUAUGUCGAUCUCAUGAAGCUGUAAGAGGAACCCUUUACAAAUGCCUUGCCCCUCUUCACAAUCACCUGUACCCAUCCGAACCCCAUAAGGUUCUGUCUCUUGCACCGGAAUGCCCAAGUCCUCCACGAGAUUGAGGGAGAUGAAAUUAUGGGUGGCUCCUGGGUCAACUAAAGCCACCACCGGCUGACCCAUCACGUGGCCCCUUAACUUCAUGGUUUUUGGAGAGGAUAGCCCUGCCACCGAAUUGAGAGAUACCUCAACCAUGUCUUCCACUUCCAUCGAGACCAAGGUAGUUGGGUCGGUUUCUUUUGGUUCCAGGUCUGGGUCUUCUUCCCCUUCUCGGUCUUCUGAUUCCUCGAUCAGGAUGACAUUGAUUUGCGUCUUGCAUCGAUGCCCUUUGUUCCAUUCUUCGUUACAUUUGUAACAGAGCCCCUUCGAACGUCGUUCUUGGAUUUGCGCUUCCGUCAAACGUUGAUUUUGUGUCGUUGCCCUAAUCGAGUUUGGAUUAACCAUAUUCAGAGUCGGGUAAGUACCUGAUGGCGACGACUUUCCGGGUAUGGGUUUUCGGACUCCCAAAGACCCAAGUAAACUGGCCUUGAGGUUCCGUAGCCUUUGUUCUGCUUGCUGGGCCAGGUCCAUGGCUUGACCCAAAUCUUGAGGAGCCUACAUAUGGAGUUCAUCCCGUAUCUCCUGUUUCAAGCCUUUCAAGAAACUUGCGAUAGCAACAUCGUUGGAGACUCCUUCCAGAGGAAUAGCAAGUUCGAUGUACCGUCGUACAUACUCAACGGUGGUGGUGGUUUGCGUUAACGAAUUCCAUUGCUCGUAAAUGUUGCCUCCCAGCACCGGUCGGAAUUUCUUGAGGAAUAAGGCUUUCAUUUGUUCCCACGUCACCACCGGCUGUUGAUUGUGUGACCAUCGAUACCAGGAAAGGGCAUCCCCGCUGAGCGCAAGGAUUGCUGCUUCGAGUUUCUCCCCGUUGUUUAGUUGAUAAAUGGUGAAGUAGCGCUUCGCUUGUAGUAUCCACCCAUCUGGGUCCGACCCAUCAAAGCCCGGCAUGUCAAUCUUACGAUGGCGAUACUUAUACUUCCCUCUCCCAGAUUCCAUCGGUGGAACAGUCCCAAAAAUGAUGGGAGGGUUUCCAGAAUUGAAUCCACCAGAACUGGAGCCACCAUGACCGGAUCCUCCUGUUCCCGGUCCUUUCGUUCCCUUGUUCUUGUUCAUCGGGUCAUUUGGAGGAGUAACGAUACCAGAGUUUGGAGUUCCUGACGUUCCUCUUCCUGCUGCUGGGUUUGCUUCACUUCUUUCUAGCAACACGUUCAUAGUCUGCUUCAUUUCAUCUUGCCCUUGGAGGAUCACCUCCAUCCUUGAUUUCAUCUCUUGAAUAUCCACUCCAUGGGAUUGGAGUUGGAUCUGCAUCACUCCAACUUGUUCCUCAAUUUUCUUAGCUGCAGCAGCUUCCUUUGAUGCCCCUCCCAUCGGAUGAAAGUGCUCUGAUACCACUUGAUAAGCUCACACUAAGGAUUGAUUAUCUAAACUGGAAACUGAAUACGCGAUAAAUGGAGAUGAACUAAAACGAUUUUCAUAGAACAAAAGGAUAGGUCUCACUUUCGAGAGGUGAGUGCUCUCCAAGUUUUUGCACAAGCAAUUACAAAUUUUCACAUAAACAAAAAGGCAAUAUCUCCAGCUAUAAAUACUAAAGAAAAGACAAAAGACUGCAAUGAAGACGUUAAACAUUCCCUCCCCACUACCAGUGUUUCCCACACAGCAACUGCAGGAGCACUAAAAGGACGGAAUUACCCUUGGACUGUCCCUUGAGGGUAAGUGGGCUGAUUCUACUAAUUUGGGCUGUCACCUAUGGGUUGCUUCUUCUUCUUGCGAGUGUAAACAUGAAGGAGUGGAGGCUUAUCACAUUCCCAAAAAAAGGCUAAUAAAUUUUAUAAAUAAUAUAAUUCCAACCAAAAUUUGCAUCCGAAUGAAAAAUACUUGCCAUUGUCACAUAUUAAUAUUUUUAACCAAAAAUAAAAAAAUAAUUACUUUUUCGCUCAUUUUAGCAAAUGAGAGUUUUUAAU
RNAcentral lists this long non-coding RNA (5412 nucleotides) under Lactuca sativa (garden lettuce). RNAcentral's name for it is "long non-coding RNA (LSAT_LNC006571)". The record is from RNAcentral. Lineage: Eukaryota; Viridiplantae; Streptophyta; Magnoliopsida; Asterales; Asteraceae.